GCUUGUCUCAAAGAUUAAGCCAUGCAUGUCUAAGUAUAAACUGCUUUAUACUGUGAAACUGCGAAUGGCUCAUUAAAUCAGUUAUAGUUUAUUUGAUGGUACUUACUUACUCGGAUAACCGUAGUAAUUCUAGAGCUAAUACAUGCAAAAAGCCUGGACUUCUGGAACAGGCGUAUUUAUUAGAUAUACAAACCAACCGCUUCGGCGACCCUUGGUGACUCAUAAUAACUUCACGAAUCGCACGGCCUCGUGCCGGCGAUGUUUCAUUCAAAUUUCUGCCCUAUCAACUUUUGAUGGUAGGAUAGAGGCCUACCAUGGUGGUAACGGGUGACGGAGGAUUAGGGUUCGAUUCCGGAGAGGGAGCCUGAGAAACGGCUACCACAUCCAAGGAAGGCAGCAGG
Molecule: ribosomal RNA, 401 nt
Filed under: Catena viridis
Lineage: Eukaryota; Viridiplantae; Chlorophyta; Trebouxiophyceae; Chlorellales; Chlorellaceae
Description: partial small subunit ribosomal RNA
Rfam family: Eukaryotic small subunit ribosomal RNA
Source: RNAcentral